AUUGAACGCUGGCGGCAUGCCUUACACAUGCGAGUCGAACGGCAGCACGGGAGCAAUCCUGGUGGCGAGUGGCGAACGGGUGAGUAAAGUAUCGGAACGUGCCCAGUCGUGGGGGAUAACGUAGCGAAAGUUACGCUAAUACCGCAUACGAUCUAUGGAUGAAAGCGGGGGAUCGCAAGACCUCGCGCGAUUGGAGCGGCCGAUAUCAGAUUAGGUAGUUGGUGGGGUAAAGGCUCACCAAGCCGACGAUCUGUAGCUGGUCUGAGAGGACGACCAGCCACACUGGGACUGAGACACGGCCCAGACUCCUACGGGAGGCAGCAGUGGGGAAUUUUGGACAAUGGGCGCAAGCCUGAUCCAGCCAUGCCGCGUGCAGGAUGAAGGCCUUCGGGUUGUAAACUGCUUUUGUACGGAACGAAAAGGUUUGGCCUAAUAAGCUGAGCUCAUGACGGUACCGUAAGAAUAAGCACCGGCUAACUACGUGCCAGCAGCCGCGGUAA
RNAcentral lists this ribosomal RNA (500 nucleotides) under uncultured bacterium. RNAcentral describes it as "partial 16S ribosomal RNA". It matches the Rfam family "Bacterial small subunit ribosomal RNA", at positions 30 to 523 of the family's 1533-position model. The record is from RNAcentral.